This 461-nucleotide ribosomal RNA is filed under the name uncultured Sphingobacteriales bacterium. RNAcentral's name for it is "bacterial SSU rRNA". It matches the Rfam family "Bacterial small subunit ribosomal RNA", at positions 923 to 1382 of the family's 1533-position model. The record is from RNAcentral. Lineage: Bacteria; Pseudomonadati; Bacteroidota; Sphingobacteriia; Sphingobacteriales.
GCACAAGCGGAGGAACAUGUGGUUUAAUUCGAUGAUACGCGAGGAACCUUACCUGGGCUUAAAUGUAGAGUGCAUUGGAGGGAAACUUUUCAUUUUCUUCGGAACUCUUUACAAGGUGCUGCAUGGUUGUCGUCAGCUCGUGCCGUGGGGUGUCGGGUUAAGUCCCAUAACGAGCGCAACCCUUAUCGUUAGUUGCCAGCGGGUAAAGCCGGGGACUCUAGCGAAACUGCCGGUGUAAACCGAGAGGAAGGUGGGGGAUGACGUCAAAUCAGCACGGCCCUUAUGUCCAGGGCUACACACGUGUUACAAUGGCCGGUACAGAGGGCAGCUACCUGUUGACAGGAUGCGAAUCUCGAAAGCCGGCCUCAGUUCGGAUCGGAGUCUGCAACCCGACUCCGUGAAGCUGGAUUCGCUAGUAAUCGCGCAUCAGCCAUGGCGCGGUGAAUACGUUCCCGGGCCUU